Long non-coding RNA from Amphimedon queenslandica, 858 nucleotides. RefSeq lists it as uncharacterized. The transcript has 3 exons. The record is from RefSeq and is a predicted model, not a curated record. Lineage: Eukaryota; Metazoa; Porifera; Demospongiae; Haplosclerida; Niphatidae.
CGCAAAAUUCGCAAUUAAUAGUACCCGCAUUUAAAAGUAACCUUAAGGUACUGAUAUAUUGCCCAUCCUUAUUGGUACUGCAUUUCUCUAUUCUCAUUGUUGUGUUCCUUGACCCCUAUUCUUGUAUAUCUUAAUUUGUCUCGUAUUGACAUUUCUUCCUCUCUUUUGCCUUCUCUCCUCCUAGUAUAUGUACAUGUACAUCUAACUUUUGCUCUUUCUCUUUUCUUCCUAUAUAGGAUUCUCCUAUCUCUUACGUUCUUUGUCUUCUUGUGUAUAAAUACAGUUCCUUACUGAUACUAUAAGCUUGUGUUAACACAUGUACGUCAAUGUCAUGUUUUUUAUAUUAUUUAUUAUUAUAGUACAUUUUUGAAUCACAGACGCAUUGCGUGUCAAGAAUCAAGAUUCCAUUUCCGGCAAAAGAUGUGGGAGUAGAACUAUCCUAACAACAUGAUGGAGAAUGGAAUUAAGACAAAAUGCUAAGAAUAUUCAGAGCAUGUCCAAUUUGAACAAUGCCGUUAACUACUCAUAAUCAAUAAACAGUUUGUUCCAUGGACAUUAACUUAUUACUUAGAGAAAAGGAUGUGUUGAGAUUAAUAUGCACUAAUGCAAUGGUAAGUGGUAUGUUGUGUACAUGUACAUGUAUUUGAGUCAAUUGAUUACCGAGUAACUGUAAUGGUAAUUGUCACAGGCCUAUGUCACUGACUAUACAUGUAUUCUUCAUUAUGUCUCAGAUAAACCCAUUAACAAUGACAUUGCCUUCUGAGCACAGAUGGCAAUACAGUUACCAUUGCCAUUACUAUUACCUUUGUAAUAACAAUUCAGUGCUGUACACCUUUCUCUCUUUCCUCUUUUUGUUUC